Molecule: ribosomal RNA, 354 nt
Filed under: Triticum aestivum (bread wheat)
Lineage: Eukaryota; Viridiplantae; Streptophyta; Magnoliopsida; Poales; Poaceae
Description: partial small subunit ribosomal RNA
Source: RNAcentral
GUAUCACUACCCAGUUCCGCAUCAUUUCCUAAAAUGAUGAUCUCAUUAUUAACUAUUCUUGCAAAACCGCUCCACAGAACCGCCAACCAUUCAUCGUUGAGGAGGCAUAUUCUCAAAUGGCUCACAUCUACUAUUGUGUUAAUGGGGGUGUGGUUUUGUAAUACGCUAAUUCCACAAUUAGUGGUUAAAAUGAUUUCUUUCACUUCACAAUCCCAUAUUCCAAAAAUUUCGUCGGUGAGGGUGAUUUGGAAAUAUAAAAUGGAUCAGUGGCAUUGCCCGCAGGACCAACGCAAUCGGGGUUAUGUUAUGUAUCAACGGCGUUGGCUAAAAAACAGGUGCCCCUGGUAUAUUUGA